GCGGAUAUGGCGGAAUUGGCAGACGCGCUGGUUUUAGGUACCAGUGGGUAUCCCGUGCAGGUUCAAGUCCUGUUAUCCGCA
This 81-nucleotide transfer RNA is filed under the name Blautia sp. Its description in RNAcentral is "tRNA-Leu". It matches the Rfam family "tRNA". From Rfam's summary of the family: Transfer RNA (tRNA) molecules are approximately 80 nucleotides in length. RNAcentral also lists the same sequence under 1 other name. Lineage: Bacteria; Bacillati; Bacillota; Clostridia; Lachnospirales; Lachnospiraceae. The record is from RNAcentral.